Alexandromys fortis (reed vole) is the source of this 432-nucleotide long non-coding RNA. RefSeq lists it as uncharacterized. The record is from RefSeq and is a predicted model, not a curated record. The transcript is spliced from 3 exons. Lineage: Eukaryota; Metazoa; Chordata; Mammalia; Rodentia; Cricetidae.
CAGACAGUGCUGGUGGUGGCUCACACCUUUGAUUCUAGCACAUGGGAUCUCAUGCUUUUAAUCCCAGCAAUUGGGAGGCUCAUGCCUUUAAUCCCAGCAUGAGGGAUGUGGAGACAGGAAUAUAAAAUGGUUGGAGACAGGAUCUGGCGCCAAUUCAAUCUGAGGAUUCUAGAGACAACAAUUUCAGUCUAACAUUCAAAGAGGCAGAUGCCCCCAUUCAGUUGGAGAUUUAGAAGAGAAGAUGAAGAAAGCACGUGCAACCAAUCAGUUCCCGAACUCCAUUUGGCUGCAUUUUAUUCCAAAGUCAAGGCUGAUAUUUAACAACACGCCCUGUGACUCUACAUUGCUUGGCUCUGAAGCACAGCUCCACAUCUGAAAAUUUAACAGUGCACACAAAUAUGUGAAAACUCUAUUCCAAAAUUUAAAUAAGGG